RNAcentral lists this ribosomal RNA (468 nucleotides) under uncultured bacterium. RNAcentral describes it as "partial 16S ribosomal RNA". It matches the Rfam family "Bacterial small subunit ribosomal RNA", at positions 28 to 507 of the family's 1533-position model. The record is from RNAcentral.
GACGAACGCUGGCGGCGUGCUUAACACAUGCAAGUCGAACGGAAAGGCCCUGCUUUUGUGGGGUGCUCGAGUGGCGAACGGGUGAGUAACACGUGAGUAACCUGCCCUUGACUUUGGGAUAACUUCAGGAAACUGGGGCUAUUACCGGAUAGGAGCUCCUGCUGCAUGGUGGGGGUUGGAAAGUUUCGGCGGUUGGGGAUGUACUCGCGGCUUAUCAGCUUGUUGGUGGGGUAGUGGCUUACCAAGGCUUUGACGGGUAGCCGGCCUGAGAGGGUUACCGGCCACAUGGGGACUGAGAGACGGCCCAGAAUCCUACGGGAGGCAGCAGUGGGGAAUAUUGCACAAUGGGCGGAAGCCUGAUGCAGCAACGCCGCGUGCGGGAUGACGGCCUUCGGGGUGUAAACCGCUUUCGCAUGUGACGAAGCGUGAGUGACGGUAAUGGGUAAAGAAGCACCGGCUAACUACGUG